Haplochromis burtoni (Burton's mouthbrooder) is the source of this 577-nucleotide long non-coding RNA. RefSeq lists it as uncharacterized. The record is from RefSeq and is a predicted model, not a curated record. NCBI's taxonomy places the organism in Eukaryota, Metazoa, Chordata, Actinopteri, Cichliformes, Cichlidae. The transcript is spliced from 4 exons.
CAUUAUUAUUCUCCUGCUCUUGUUGUAUCGCUGCACAACAACCAACAGUGAGACCUUUCCCUUUACUUACUACAAACUCUUUAUCAUUCAAAGACACAAAUGCAUCAUGAGCUUCAUGUAAAAGCAAAAGUCUUAUUUUAUAAUUUAAUGAAGGUGCCGCUAAUGAGCAGACGCUCAAUCGGGAUGAAGAUCAGGAGCCAGUGUACUCCUCUCUUCUUCAUGGUGAUCGUUGUGUCUAUGAGACAGUCAGAAGAUGUGAAAACACUGAAAAUGGUCCAGCAGAAGGUGAUUACACCAACGUCACAUCUGUGAUUCAGCUGAAAGUCAUUAACAAGACAAGGCAACGUGGUGACCCAGAGGAGAGCUCUGACUACAAUGAUGUCAAUCCAAAUUCAGCCACAGCUCUAAAAUCUUAACAACAGCUCUUUAGCUGUUUUUCUCUUUUUCUCUUUAAAGUUUCUUAAAAACUCGAAGUCACUUUGAAUGAAAAUGAGAAGAUUUUGAAUUCAAAGCAAUGAUCCUCACACGCUGAGUUUAUAUUUCCUUUAGAAAAAAUCGCUCAGUGUGUUUCACUUGU